AUUGAACGCUGGCGGCAUGCCUUACACAUGCAAGUCGAACGGUAACAGGUCUUCGGAUGCUGACGAGUGGCGAACGGGUGAGUAAUACAUCGGAACGUGCCCGAUCGUGGGGGAUAACGAGGCGAAAGCUUUGCUAAUACCGCAUACGAUCUACGGAUGAAAGCGGGGGAUCUUCGGACCUCGCGCGGACGGAGCGGCCGAUGGCAGAUUAGGUAGUUGGUGGGAUAAAAGCUUACCAAGCCGACGAUCUGUAGCUGGUCUGAGAGGAUGAUCAGCCACACGGGGACGGAAAACCGGCCCAGACCCCUACGGGGGGCAGCAGGGGGGAAUUUUGGACAAUGGGCAAAAGCCUUACCCAGCCAGGCCGCGGGCAGGAUGAAGGCCUUGGGUUUGGAAACUUUUUUUGAACGGAACAAAAAGCCUCUUUCAAAAAAAGAGAGGUAAUGACGGUACCGUAAGAAUAAGCACCGGCUAACUACGU
This 481-nucleotide ribosomal RNA is filed under the name uncultured bacterium. RNAcentral's name for it is "partial 16S ribosomal RNA". It matches the Rfam family "Bacterial small subunit ribosomal RNA", at positions 30 to 506 of the family's 1533-position model. The record is from RNAcentral.